This is a long non-coding RNA of Solea senegalensis (Senegalese sole), 333 nucleotides long. RefSeq lists it as uncharacterized. The transcript has 4 exons. NCBI's taxonomy places the organism in Eukaryota, Metazoa, Chordata, Actinopteri, Pleuronectiformes, Soleidae. The record is from RefSeq and is a predicted model, not a curated record.
UCUGAAGAACUUGGAGUCUGCUGUGUCUCCUGACUCUCCACAGUUGGCAGGGAAAACCGGACCGUUCACCCUGAGAGAUGAACACAGGAGCAGUGUGCGUGUGCCGGUGAGGCUGCUGUGCAGGAGCAGAGCAUGAAGCUGUUGGGGGAAGACAAGUGUGUCUGGACAGAGAGAGUCCCUGCAGAACGUCAGCUCCUCCAGAAAGGACAGCGUCGUUGUAUGGACACGCCUGUGACCUCCUCGCUCCCCUCAGGAACGCUGACUCUGCUGUGUCGGAGACUCCAGUCCUGUGCUUGUUGGAUGUUCACGCGACACAAACCGCCUGUCCUGGAG